GGCUGAGGCAGGAGAAUCCCUUGAACCCAGGAGGCAGAGGUUGCAGUGGGCCAAGAUCACACCACUGCACUCCAGUCUGGGUGAUAAAACGAGAUUCCGUCUCAAAAAAAAAAAAAAAACUGCCAAAACGCUUUUUGCAAAGUGGUUGUACCAUUUUAUAUUCUCACCACCAUGAAUGAAAGUUCCAAUUGCUAUAUUCUUGCCCUCAUUUGAUAAUAUUUUUAGUUUUAGCCAUUCUAAUGGAUAUAUAGUAAUAAUUUGAUGGUUUUAAUUUGCAUUUCUCUGAUGAUCAAUAACAUUAAGUUUUGAUUCAGGUACUUGUUGGGCACUCAUAUCUUUGGUGAAAUAUCUGUUCAAAUCAUUUGCUCUUUUUUUUUUCUUAGCACUUAAAAAAGACUUUUUGCCAGGCACAGUGGCACAUGCCUGUAGACCUAGCUACUCAGGAGGCUAAGACAGGAGGAUCACUUGAGUCCAGAAGUUCUGGGUUGUAGUGAGCUAUGUCAAUCAGGUGUUUGCACUAAGUUCAGCAUAAAUGUAGUGACCUCCUGGGUCACUGGGACCCAGAGUUGCCUAAGGAGCGUCAGAAGUGGAGCAGGUCAAAACUCCUGUGCUGAUCAGUAGUGGGAUCACACCUGUGAAUAGCCACUGCACUGCAGCCUGGGCAACAUAGUGAGAUCCUCAUCUCCUGAAAAAAAAAAAAAACUUUAGUUUUUAAAAGUAGUUUUAGGUUCUGAGCAAAAUUGAGAGGAGGGUACAGAAAUAACUUAUAUAUCCUCAGUGCUCCCCUCCCCCAUGCCUCCCUCAUCACCAUCCCCCAGCAGAGUGGCACAUUGGUUACAAUUGAUAAACCUACACUGACACAUCAUUAUCACCCAAAGCCUAUUGUUUCCAUUAGGGUUCACUCUUGGUGCUGUACAAUCUAUGGGUUUGAACAAAGGUACAAUGACAUGUAUCCAUCUUUAUAGUCAUGCAGAGUCUACACUGUCCUAAAAACCCUUGGCUCUGCCUCUUCGUCGUGUCCUCCCCACUGACCCCCGGCUACCACUGGUCUUUUCACUGUCUCCGUAAGUUUUUCCUUUUUCAGAACGCCAUAUAGUUGGAAUCAUAAAGUAUAUAUAGCCUUUUCACAUUGGUUUCUUUCACUGGAUAAUAUGCAUUUGUUUCCUCUAUGUCUUUUCACAGUUUGAUAGCUCAUUUCUUUUUAGCAUCGAGUAAUACUCCAUUGUCUGGGUGUACAACAGUUUAUCCAUUCACCUGCUGAAGGACAUCUUGGUUGAUUGCUUCCAAGUUUUGGCAAUUAUGAAUAAAAUUGCUAUAGAUAUCCAUGUGUAGGUUUUUGUGUCCAUUUAAGCUUUCAACUCCUUUGGGUAAAUACCAAAGAGCACAAUUGUUGGAUUGAAUGCUAAGAGAAUGUUUCGUUUUGUAAAAAACCACCAAACUGUCCUACAGAGAGGCUGUACCAUUUUGCAUUCCCACCAGCAGUGAAUAAGGGUUCCUAUUGCUCAACAUCCCUGUCAGCACUUGGUGUUAGUGUUCUGAAUUUUGGCCAUUCUAAAAGGUGUGUAGUGGUGUCUCACUUGUUUUGUGUUUUUCUCUGCUCAGACAGCUCAUCCACAUCACAUUUAUUUUAAUUUGCAUUUCCCUGAUAAUAUGUGAUAUGGAACAUCUAUUUACUCAUUAUUUUUUCUUCUUAUGAUUGAAGUUAUAAUAUUUCUUUAAAUAUUUUGGAUAAAUCUUUUGUCAGAUAUAUGCACUGGAAAUAUUUUUAUGGGGGACCAGUGUUAAGAUUAGAUCUGUUUAAAGAGAAAGGAGAGAAAGUUUCAGGCAGGGAAUGCAAUCGAUGUGAAGGUUUGGGGUAAUUUGUUUCAUUUAUCUUUAACACCAUGUUAUGGAUGGCAAAAUAACUUCACUGGCUUUUUUUAUCAAGAAAAGACUUACCUUUUCUGAAUGCAACAGUAUUAGUAAACCUAAUGGUGACAAUAAAAGCGAUUCUGAAUAAAUGAAAACCAAUAGAUUGUUCUAGUUUUACUCAUAAAUAUAAUUCUUCAUAUACUGAGUUCAGUUUUUUAGCCAUAAAUGAAGACAUGGGAAAACCAUAACAUGUUAUUUGCUGAGAAGUUCUGGCAAAUGAAGCAAUAAAAUAAUCAAAACUAAAUCAACAUUUAAAUACAGAACAUAAAGAGAUAAAUCCAAAACCAGAAGAUCUCUUUGAAAGAAAAACCUAAGUAAUUAAAAAACUGAAAGCACAGAUAUUCAUUAUUUCACAAAUAAACGUUAAUGCUUUUUAGACAUCUUUAAGCAACUUUAGAUUGCUAAAACUAAAAAAUGCAAUUAAGACAAUAAUCUUAUAUAUAGACAAUAAUUGUCUUAAUAAUAAUCAGCAUCAAAGAUUCUUAGAAAUGUUGGGAGACUGUGUGGCAAAGAAAGUACUUCAAUUACCAGUUACCAACACACAACAAUUUGAAAUAUCCAGGAAGAUCAACCCAUAGAACAAAGAAAGCUAAUAAAUUACCUUUUCUUGCAAUUGGUUUGAUGUACCAUUAAUAUAUAGAUAUUACUAAUAUGGCAAUUAGUUUAUAUGCUAUUUGAAUAUGAUAGUAAUAUGAAGGAAGAUUCUCUUUUUUCCACUUCAUUGCCAACAAACAGCUAACUCUAAACAACAGUAAAGUGUGGAAUAAAUUACUUUGUUAAUUAAUGUGGUUUGAAGCUUUGUAGGAAUCCAAUUGGAUGGAUAGCAGCAGUGGUAAGAGAACAUUCCGGAAUAAUUACCUAAAUUAAGGAGCUUGCCCUAGAAUGUAAAUCAACCUACUAUAUCUUUUUAUUUGAAAAAGUCUUGGUAGAAAAAGCAUAUCAACUGAACUGUACAGUGUGUUCAGUGACUUAGUAAAGAACAUAACUUGUGUAAAGGCUAAUGCAAUAAGUUUGAGAUUGUUCUCUUUAUGUAAUAGUUUGGAAAACAAACAACUGUGAUUACAUUUAGAGAUAUGAUGAUUAUCUAGAGGGAAAGUUCUGUUGAGCAUAUUUGAACAUUUAAUUAUUGCUGCAAGAAGCCAGUUUGGUCCCAGCUUUAUAAAGAUAUACAUUGGGCUGGGUGCGGUGGCUCAUGCCUGUAAUCCCAGCACUUUGGGAGGCCGAGGCAGGCGGAUCACCUGAGGUCAGAGGUUCGAGACCAGCCUGGCCAACAUGGUGAAACCCCAUCUCUACUAAAAAUACAAAAAUUAGCUGGGCGUGGUGGCACACACCUGUAUUCCUUGCUACUCGGGAGGCUAAGGCAGGAGAAUCGCUUGAACCCAGGAAGCAGAGGUUGCAGUGAGCCAAGAUUGUGCCACUGCACACCAGCCUGGAUAAAAAGAGUGAAACUCUGCCUCAAAAUAAAAUAAUAAAAUGAAAUAAAGAUAUAAAUUGGCCAGCUAGAGUUACCUGAAGUUACUAUCUUCAAUUAUCUGAAGACAGUUCUGAUAGCUUCAGAAUUCUUUCAUACAAGGCAGGAAUGCAACUUGUUUUUUAAUGGCAGAUAAAAUCAAAGAGCAAAAGCAAAAGGUAGAAGCUUGAAAGACCAGAGUUGCUACAGAUUGUUAUUACAUGUUCCAUAAUUUAACAAUUGUCAUUGAAGUUGGUGAUUGUCUUGAUAUUGCACAUCUGUAAGAAGUAAUCAAACUAUUGUGAAUUUGAUAGAAUGCUUUAAGUUUUAUUUUCCAACAAAAGAAUGUCUACAUACGGCAAAUUCAUAGAUCUGGAAUCCAUUUAUGUCAUCAAAAGAGGAUUUAAAUUUAAUUGUAAGCUUAUAUGAUACAUUGUUCUAACUGGCAACUAAUGAA
This 3818-nucleotide long non-coding RNA is filed under the name Homo sapiens (human). RNAcentral describes it as "non-protein coding lnc-SOCS2-1:2". The stretch from base 403 to 687 matches the Rfam family "Metazoan signal recognition particle RNA". The record is from RNAcentral. Lineage: Eukaryota; Metazoa; Chordata; Mammalia; Primates; Hominidae.